RNAcentral lists this ribosomal RNA (228 nucleotides) under uncultured bacterium. RNAcentral describes it as "partial 16S ribosomal RNA". It matches the Rfam family "Bacterial small subunit ribosomal RNA", at positions 107 to 334 of the family's 1533-position model. The record is from RNAcentral.
CGCGUAACACGUAAGCAACCUGCCCGAAAGACCGGGACAACAGCUCGAAAGGGCUGCUAAUACCGGAUGUGUCCGUCUUGUCUCCUGACUUGACGAGUAAAUCAUUUAUGGCUUUCGGAGGGGCUUGCGGCCUAUCAGCUAGAUGGCGGUGUAACGGACCACCAUGGCGACGACGGGUAGCUGGUCUGAGAGGAUGGUCAGCCGGACUGGGACUGAGAUACGGCCCAG